AUGCUUUCUUCGUCUUGCUCCGUCGCGGCGUGCGGCGUUCGUGCGUUCCGGCUCCUGGCCGUGGCCGCCGUCCGGCUCCCGAUGCUCCUCUUCUGCGACGCCAUGGUGUGGGCCGUCACCUUCCUCACCUUCCCCGUGCGCCUCCUCGCCGCCGCCGACAGGGAGCGCAAGCUGGAGCGGCUGGUGGGGGAGAUGCAGGGGCAGAUGGAGCGGGUGGUGUGGGAGAACAGGGACCUGGAGCAGCGGCUGCGGACGGCGCUCAAGGAGAACGCGACCAUGGAGGGCAUCCUCGACGAGAUGGAGGAGGAGAACGAGGAGGCCUUCGCCCGGAUCGACCUCCUCGAGAGCCAGCUCAAGGCGCUCAAGAAGGAGAACAUGCGGCUCAAGGAGCAGAGGGGCAAGUCCGUGUGGGACAAGGCGGCGGCCACGGCCACGGCGGCGACGGUGGCGGUGGCCGGAAAUGGCGGCGGCAAGAAGAAGCCUGGCGAAACGAGGGCAUGGGAAGGCCAAGAAGAAGAGGAAGAAGACGCGCCAGCGCAGAGGGACCAGCCGGUCGUCUUCAGACCCGGCGACCUCGACGCCUUCCCACCGUCGGAGGCGCGGGAUCAGCUGUUGCGGGCGACGGCGCGGCGGCGGAGCCUGUUCAGCCUGGGCAUGUCGCUGGCGGUGGGAGGGAUCGCGUGGUCGGCGGACGCGCCGUGCCUGCCGCUCCUCGCGGGGCUCGUCGGCGUGGUGGCCAUGUCCAUGUGCAGCGUGUCGCGCCUCUUCCGGGCGCCCGCAGACCACCGCGUCCUGCCUCCGGCGUCGGCGGCCUCCGACGGCGCCGUGGCGCUGCUGAGCCUCAACUGGUUCCUGCUGGGCGUGCUCACCUACCCGAUGCUGCCGGGCGUUGCGCGGGCCGUCGUCCCGCGCGCCGCGCGCCUCGCCGGCCCCGCCAUCGCGUGGCUCGCUGCCGCGGUGCCCGUUUGA
RNAcentral lists this ribosomal RNA (969 nucleotides) under Triticum aestivum (bread wheat). Its description in RNAcentral is "partial small subunit ribosomal RNA". Lineage: Eukaryota; Viridiplantae; Streptophyta; Magnoliopsida; Poales; Poaceae. The record is from RNAcentral.